Long non-coding RNA from Rosa rugosa (rugosa rose), 1314 nucleotides. RefSeq lists it as uncharacterized. NCBI's taxonomy places the organism in Eukaryota, Viridiplantae, Streptophyta, Magnoliopsida, Rosales, Rosaceae. The transcript is spliced from 7 exons. The record is from RefSeq and is a predicted model, not a curated record.
AUGACAGUUUUGCCCUCGAGCUGUAUGCGGAGAGAAAAAGGCCCAAGUUUUCUUCUGUGUUCUAGAAGCAUACAUCGACUACGCUUCGUUCCAUUUUCGGUUUUGUUCUCAGAUACAGACGCGGCGUGAAACGGAGUUAUCAAGCGUAUCGAUCAAGCUCUCAGAUAUAAAGGUCGCUGGGUAGCAGAGAGAAGGGGAGAGAUCCAAGAUUUUCGUCCAAGCUUCGGGUCGUUGGGGUGGCAAAAAGAAGGGGAGGGAUCGAAGAUUGUGGUCGACUUCCGGAGGAAGGUUGAAAAAGAGUGGGGGCGUUUCUCAGUUCAUGUAUAGUGUGUGCUUAAUCUAGAAGUUGUACAUAUUGAAGGAGCGGGGAUUUGCUUAAGAAUCAUAAGCAGUUGUGUCUUUGAAGGGCUGGUUGGAUAUCUCUGCGAGGUAGGCUUGGGUUCGUUUUGGAAGAGGUGUGUGCUGAGAUUGUGAUCGAGUUUAGGAGACGGGCUUUGGGAGCAAAAGAGUGGAGAAACUUCGCCAAUGCUGCCUUGAAGAAAUUUGAGAUUACAAGCAUGGUGGAAAAGACCACUAAAGGUAGGAGAAUGAUGGAGGAAUUACAAAGAUACACUUUAAUUCAGUUAAGAAAAACAAAACCCCCGCAGCAUCGCGCGGGAAGGAUUAUCUAGUUAAUUUACUAUAUACUAAAGUGCACUUACUGUUCAUUAUCCUGUUCAUUUAACAGUAAAAUGGCGGUUUUGCCCUUGAUUUCUUCUCACAAUUUCAGGCUGCCAUAAGGAGUGUGAAAAGGCCAUUUUGCCCUUCAUUUUUCUUGGUUUAUGGAUGGUAUGAAACUUCAACACGAGCCACAUUUUCUCGAAAAUGGAUCAAACUGAUCUGAACCAGAAAUCCGAACAGCAUGAACUUACGUGAUCCUGGAAUGGGACAAACAGUAGUAAAAGAAAAGUACUGUUUUGCCCUGAAACAGCAAGUAUAUAUAAUUCUCUUCUCAACCCCACCAUCUAUCGCAUUUGAGGAGAAGUCUCCAUCGGUACGUACGUAUCUAGAGUUCCUGUUAACCGACAUUAGAUUUCCCAGUCAAAAUCAAGAUCAGCAAAUACGGUUUAUCAGUGUCACGGGAAAUUGCGUUGCUCAUCUAUUCAGCUUACCUUCAAGUUAUUAUCCUUUAUGUGUAAUCUUGGAUCUUGAUUUAUUGUGAAUGAUUCCGAUUCUUUACAUUCAGUUCGUGUUGCUCAUAUUCUUGGUUCUGUUUUCAAAUUUUGUUAUAACUGUUGAGUUUUUGAUUGCAAUUCUGAAUUCUUUCUUUCUUUC